AGCUUUGUGCAGUGGCAGUACUAUAGCCAAGGAGGUUUAUCUGAGGCACGAUGGUCGCUAAUUCAAAAUGCAUACGAUAAAUACAAGUGUAAAGAUGAAAAUCACCUGUUAUCUCAUCCCUGCUAACAUUUUGGUUGAUUUUACUCCAGA
Molecule: small nuclear RNA, 150 nt
Filed under: Vulpes vulpes (red fox)
Lineage: Eukaryota; Metazoa; Chordata; Mammalia; Carnivora; Canidae
Description: U4 spliceosomal RNA (ENSVVUG00000024876.1)
Source: RNAcentral